Molecule: transfer RNA, 73 nt
Filed under: Camelus bactrianus (Bactrian camel)
Lineage: Eukaryota; Metazoa; Chordata; Mammalia; Artiodactyla; Camelidae
Also listed under: 2 other names
Rfam family: tRNA
About the family: Transfer RNA (tRNA) molecules are approximately 80 nucleotides in length. Their secondary structure includes four short double-helical elements and three loops (D, anti-codon, and T loops).
Source: Rfam by way of RNAcentral
GGGGGUAUUGCUCAGUGAUAGAGUGCAUGCUUAGUACACGUGAGAUCCUGGGUUCAAAUCCCCAGUACCUCCA